Molecule: unclassified non-coding RNA, 253 nt
Filed under: uncultured Bacillaceae bacterium
Lineage: Bacteria; Bacillati; Bacillota; Bacilli; Caryophanales; Bacillaceae
Description: contains 16S-23S intergenic spacer region
Rfam family: Bacterial small subunit ribosomal RNA
Source: RNAcentral
UACGUAGGUGGCAAGCGUUGUCCGGAAUUAUUGGGCGUAAAGCGCGCGCAGGCGGUUUCUUAAGUCUGAUGUGAAAGCCCGUGGCUCAACCACGGAGGGUCAUUGGAAACUGGGAAACUUGAGUGCAGAAGAGGAGAGUGGAAUUCCACGUGCAGCGGUGAAAUGCGUAGAUAUGUGGAGGAACACCAGUGGCGAAGGCGACUCUCUGGUCUGUAACUGACGCUGAGGCGCGAAAGCGUGGGGAGCGAACAGG